This 96-nucleotide non-coding RNA is filed under the name Schistosoma japonicum. Lineage: Eukaryota; Metazoa; Platyhelminthes; Trematoda; Strigeidida; Schistosomatidae. The record is from RNAcentral.
AGAGUACCUGGUUGGGGUCCCCGUGAUGAUCGUAACCAGCGGUUAGAGACAUUAGGUGAUAUGGCUCAAAAUCGUUGGCAAUGGCACAGGUGCAUC